Molecule: non-coding RNA, 75 nt
Organism: Myotis lucifugus (little brown bat)
Lineage: Eukaryota; Metazoa; Chordata; Mammalia; Chiroptera; Vespertilionidae
Source: Rfam
GGUGGUUCUUGGGUGAUGCAUCCCAGAAUCAGGCUCCCUCCUCUGUAGUUCUGGGUGUGUCACCUGAGAACGGCA